AGCUAUACCAAACUCUUUCAUAACAGAGCACAGAGCAGUACAUGCUUCGUACAUUGCUGCACCUUCUCCUGGUAAUUUUGCAGCCCACAUCCAAUUUCCACUACAUUUAACAUCCUAAAAAUAAGAUGAUUAUAAAUUUACAAAUACUAAAUUACUCAAAGCUUCUGCUACUGCCAUACGUGCUCCAGCAGAUGCAUUCACAAGGCCUUUUAUUGGUUGUUCGCCGAUCGAUGUUGCAAUUCCAUGCUGAAAUAAUAUAUAAGAAAAUUUUUAUAAUAACUAAUCAUUCCUAAAAAUAGAAAUGAUUAAUUAAAAUGCAUUCUCUUACUGUUGAAUACAUUGAAACAGCUGUUACAGCAACAUCAGCUAAAGGAGUAUGUAAUGGACCAACACAUUGUUGUUGUGCAAUUAAUCCUGUGACACAGCGAUCAACUUUAUUAACUAAAUAACGUUUACUAGCAACUGCAGGCAAACGUAGAACUCUAUCAAGAAUUGAAUCCACUGUCAAAUCAUUGGACAAAUAGAUUGGUGAUAAAUGCAGCUGUUUUCUUAUAAGAUUAUAUGUCUAUAGAUAAUAAAUAUUUAAUUGUUAAAA
Long non-coding RNA from Vespula vulgaris, 595 nucleotides. RefSeq lists it as uncharacterized. The transcript is spliced from 2 exons. The record is from RefSeq and is a predicted model, not a curated record. Lineage: Eukaryota; Metazoa; Arthropoda; Insecta; Hymenoptera; Vespidae.